This 497-nucleotide ribosomal RNA is filed under the name uncultured bacterium. RNAcentral describes it as "partial 16S ribosomal RNA". It matches the Rfam family "Bacterial small subunit ribosomal RNA", at positions 28 to 507 of the family's 1533-position model. The record is from RNAcentral.
GAUGAACGCUGGCGGCGUGCCUAAUACAUGCAAGUCGAGCGAACAGACGAGGAGCUUGCUCCUCUGACGUUAGCGGCGGACGGGUGAGUAACACGUGGAUAACCUACCUAUAAGACUGGGAUAACUUCGGGAAACCGGAGCUAAUACCGGAUAAUAUAUUGAACCGCAUGGUUCAAUAGUGAAAGACGGUUUUGCUGUCACUUAUAGAUGGAUCCGCGCCGCAUUAGCUAGUUGGUAAGGUAACGGCUUACCAAGGCAACGAUGCGUAGCCGACCUGAGAGGGUGAUCGGCCAUACUGGAACUGAGACACGGUCCAGACUCCUACGGGAGGCAGCAGUAGGGAAUCUUCCGCAAAGGGCGAAAGCCUGACGGAGCAACGCCGCGUGAGUGAUGAAGGUCUUCGGAUCGUAAAACUCUGUUAUUAGGGAAGAACAAAUGUGUAAGUAACUAUGCACGUCUUGACGGUACCUAAUCAGAAAGCCACGGCUAACUACGUG